GAAAGUUGGGGGCUCGAAGACGAUCAGAUACCAUCCUAGUCUCAACCAUAAACGAUGCCGACCAGGGAUCGGCGGAUGUUGCUUAUAGGACUCCGCCGGCACCUUAUGAGAAAUCAAAGUCUUUGGGU
This 128-nucleotide ribosomal RNA is filed under the name Triticum aestivum (bread wheat). RNAcentral describes it as "rRNA SSU_rRNA_eukarya". It matches the Rfam family "Eukaryotic small subunit ribosomal RNA", at positions 985 to 1112 of the family's 1831-position model. Lineage: Eukaryota; Viridiplantae; Streptophyta; Magnoliopsida; Poales; Poaceae. The record is from RNAcentral.